AACGAACGCUGGCGGCAUGCCUAACACAUGCAAGUCGAACGAGACCUUCGGGUCUAGUGGCGCACGGGUGCGUAACGCGUGGGAACCUGCCCUUAGGUUCGGAAUAACUCCCCGAAAGGGGUGCUAAUACCGGAUAAUGUCUUCGGACCAAAGAUUUAUCGCCUUUGGAUGGGCCCGCGUUGGAUUAGCUAGUUGGUAGGGUAAAAGCCUACCAAGGCGACGAUCCAUAGCUGGUCUGAGAGGAUGAUCAGCCACACUGGGACUGAGACACGGCCCAGACUCCUACGGGAGGCAGCAGUGGGGAAUAUGGGACAAUGGGCGAAAGCCUGAGCCAGCAAUGCCGCGUGAGUGAUGAAGGCCUUAGGUUUGUAAAGCUCUUUUCCCCGGGAUGAUAAUGACAGUACCGGGAGAAUAGCUCCGGCUAACUCCGUG
Molecule: ribosomal RNA, 432 nt
Filed under: uncultured bacterium
Lineage: Bacteria
Description: partial 16S ribosomal RNA
Rfam family: Bacterial small subunit ribosomal RNA
Source: RNAcentral